RNAcentral lists this long non-coding RNA (679 nucleotides) under Olea europaea subsp. europaea. Lineage: Eukaryota; Viridiplantae; Streptophyta; Magnoliopsida; Lamiales; Oleaceae. The record is from RNAcentral.
UAUCAUUUUUUUUUUCAUUAAAUAUACACUAGCAAUGAAAUUUGAAAUAUUUGUAAAAUCCAUUGGAGAUAAAAUUUGAAUUAGGCUGUUUAUUGUGAAAUAUUAAUUAUGAAUAAAUCAAAAGUCUUUCUAUGCAUUGAAGAUGUUCUAAAUAUAUGACUAAAUUUAUGGUUUCAUUUCGUAACGUGCGUUCUCUAAUAUGGCUUUGACUUAUCUUGGUCAAUUUGGAAAUAGAAGAAAAUAGAUACUUUCUUCAUGUGUUUCAAUAAUUGGAUAAUUUUUUUAAAUUGAUUUAAAGAAGUUUGGUUUACACGGAUUAUCGAGAAAGUUAUGAUUUUAAUUUUUAGAAUUCUUCGAUUUGUUGCCACUAAUUAAUCCACUGUGAUCCUUUGUUUUGGGUGAAUCUUGUGACUUGGCUCCGGUUACGGAUUACUAAAUCUUGAAUUUUGAGCCGUCAAAGUUCACAGUUGAUUGUUGUAAUAUUUUUUCUAUUUUUGGUCAUAUACAAUAGACAGUAAUACACAAGGCUUCAUAUUUUUGCUUUAUAUUUGGUUUAAAGCAUGCUUUGCCAAAUAAGCAAUGAAUUGAAGGCUUAAAUUUCUGAUUGCUGAAAUUUCAAAGGCACAAAACAUUUGAUAUUUAUUCUUGUAUUUUUCAUACCUUUAUGAAUACUUUAAGG